Molecule: ribosomal RNA, 460 nt
Filed under: uncultured bacterium
Lineage: Bacteria
Description: partial 16S ribosomal RNA
Rfam family: Bacterial small subunit ribosomal RNA
Source: RNAcentral
CCUACGGGGCGCUGCAGUGAGGAAUAUUGGUCAAUGGACGAGAGUCUGAACCAGCCAAGUAGCGUGAAGGAUGACUGCCCUAUGGGUUGUAAACUUCUUUUAUAUGGGAAUAAAAUGUUCCACGUGUGGGAUUUUGUAUGUACCCUAUGAAUAAGGAUCGGCUAACUCCGUGCCAGCAGCCGCGGUAAUACGGAGGAUCCGAGCGUUAUCCGGAUUUAUUGGGUUUAAAGGGAGCGUAGGUGGAUUGUUAAGUCAGUUGUGAAAGUUUGCGGCUCAACCGUAAAAUUGCAGUUGAAACUGGCAGUCUUGAGUACAGUAGAGGUGGGCGGAAUUCGUGGUGUAGCGGUGAAAUGCUUAGAUAUCACGAAGAACUCCGAUUGCGAAGGCAGUUCACUGGACUGCAACUGACACUGAGGCUCGAAAGUGUGGGUAUCAAACAGGAUUAGAUACCCGAGUAGUC